GAUGAAGAACGUAGUGAAAUGCGAUAAGUAAUGCGAAUUGCAGAAUUCCAGUGAGUCAUCGAAUCUUUGAACGCACAUUGCGCCCCUUGGUAUUCCAUGGGGCAUGCCUGUUCGAGCGUCAUUUGUACCUUCAAGCUUUGCUUGGUGUUGGGUGUUUGUCCCGAGGGACUCGCCUUAAAGUAAUUGGCAGCCAGUGUUUGGUUUUGAAGCGCAGCACAAGUCGCGAUUCAAGGCUACACGCCCGCUUCCACAAGCCUUUUUUCACUUUUGACCUCGGAUCAGGUAGGGAUACCCGCUGAACUUAAGCAUAUCAAUAAGCGGAGGA
RNAcentral lists this unclassified non-coding RNA (325 nucleotides) under soil metagenome. Its description in RNAcentral is "partial contains 5.8S ribosomal RNA, internal transcribed spacer 2, and large subunit ribosomal RNA". The stretch from base 1 to 121 matches the Rfam family "5.8S ribosomal RNA", at positions 35 to 154 of the family's 154-position model. The record is from RNAcentral.